UACGGGGGGGGCAAGCGUUGUUCGGAAUUACUGGGCGUAAAGGGCUCGUAGGCGGCCAACUAAGUCAGACGUUAAAUCCCUCGGCUUAACCGGGGAACUGCAUCUGAUACUGGAUGGCUUGAGUUCGGGAGAGGGAUGCGGAAUUCCAGGUGUAGCGGUGAAAUGCGUAGAUAUCUGGAGGAACACCGGUGGCGAAGGCGGCAUCCUGGACCGACACUGACGCUGAGGAGCGAAAGCCAGGGGAGCAAACGGG
RNAcentral lists this ribosomal RNA (253 nucleotides) under uncultured bacterium. RNAcentral describes it as "partial 16S ribosomal RNA". It matches the Rfam family "Bacterial small subunit ribosomal RNA", at positions 524 to 776 of the family's 1533-position model. The record is from RNAcentral.